GGGGUAGCUUUAGUACUUAGGCGCCAUGGAUGGCGAAUCGUACAUGCUACUGGCACAGGUUAGUAGUAUCUCUGAAGAUUCCCACCUC
Molecule: non-coding RNA, 88 nt
Organism: Glossina brevipalpis
Lineage: Eukaryota; Metazoa; Arthropoda; Insecta; Diptera; Glossinidae
Source: Rfam